RNAcentral lists this ribosomal RNA (618 nucleotides) under uncultured Lachnospiraceae bacterium. Its description in RNAcentral is "bacterial SSU rRNA". It matches the Rfam family "Bacterial small subunit ribosomal RNA", at positions 28 to 647 of the family's 1533-position model. Lineage: Bacteria; Bacillati; Bacillota; Clostridia; Lachnospirales; Lachnospiraceae. The record is from RNAcentral.
GAUGAACGCUGGCGGCGUGCUUACACAUGCAAGUCGAACGAAGCACUUUACCGGAUUUCUUCGGGAUGAAAGUUUUGUGACUGAGUGGCGGACGGGUGAGUAACGCGUGGGUAACCUGCCUCAUACAGGGGGAUAACAGUUAGAAAUGACUGCUAAUACCGCAUAAGACCACAGGAUUGCAUGAUCCGGUGGUAAAAACUCCGGUGGUAUGAGAUGGACCCGCGUCUGAUUAGGUAGUUGGUGGGGUAACGGCUCACCAAGCCGACGAUCAGUAGCCGACCUGAGAGGGUGACCGGCCACAUUGGGACUGAGACACGGCCCAAACUCCUACGGGAGGCAGCAGUGGGGAAUAUUGCACAAUGGGGGAAACCCUGAUGCAGCGACGCCGCGUGAGCGAUGAAGUAUUUCGGUAUGUAAAGCUCUAUCAGCAGGGAAGAAAAUGACGGUACCUGACUAAGAAGCACCGGCUAAAUACGUGCCAGCAGCCGCGGUAAUACGUAUGGUGCAAGCGUUAUCCGGAUUUACUGGGUGUAAAGGGAGCGUAGACGGAGAGGCAAGUCUGAUGUGAAAACCCGGGGCUCGACCCCGGGACUGCAUUGGAAACUGUUUUUCUAGAGU